This 129-nucleotide ribosomal RNA is filed under the name Aquibacillus halophilus. RNAcentral's name for it is "partial 23S ribosomal RNA". It matches the Rfam family "Bacterial large subunit ribosomal RNA", at positions 1 to 127 of the family's 2925-position model. The record is from RNAcentral. Lineage: Bacteria; Bacillati; Bacillota; Bacilli; Caryophanales; Bacillaceae.
AUAGUUAAGUGAAGAAGGGCGCACGGUGGAUGCCUUGGCACUAGGAGCCGAAGAAGGACGGGACAAACACCGAUAUGUCUUGGGGAGCCGUACGUAGGCAUUGAUCCAGGAAUUUCCGAAUGGGGAAAC